AGUGUUGGACACUAAGACAAACACAUAGGUGCUCGAAAGAGUAAUCGAGUACACUGAACAAUAAUCAAAAGAGAGUUCGAACAUACAUGUCAUGUAAGAACUCGAUAGUUGCAAUACGCAAAGUAGUCCUUUGACCUGAGGCAUUAUAGAUGUCUAAUGGUUAGGUCCUUGAUCUUUGAUCAUGUCAAAGGCAUUCCAUUGGAGUGUCCACGGCAUUGUUGGGGUCAAGCUAUCUACUCAUGUAGGCAUAUGAAUGUACAACAAGGGAUCUUUAACUUUCCAUGGAGGAAGGAGAAUACUCUAAGAUGUGAUUCGAGAGUCUUUGGCCAAAGCAUAUGAAUAUAACUUAGGAAGUUUGUUCCAAAUCAUAUUCAAUUGAAUCAUAUAGAGAAGUAUCACAUUGGAUAGUAGACAUGAAACAAACUAUCAUUCAAACAAUGUGAUUAAGAGUAUUGUAUUAGAGAAUGACCGUAUUGCAUUGUAAUUGUAACUGGAUAGGUUCUCCAACCACUUCUACUUAGCUUGGGUAACCAUGACAUACUGCUAGGUGUCACUCAUGGUUUGUGGAAGCCCUAAUGAUUAGCAAACACUAAUUUUAAGGGAGAAUUGAAAUGUGGUUUCAAUUCACAAUCGAUUGUUAAGAGUAACAAUCGCCCAUUACCUCGCUAAUUGGAACCUAAUGGAUCGUACACCGAGUAAGGGCGAUAGUGAAGAAAUUAAAUGAAAUGGAUAUGCAAUUAAAUGGUUUAAUUGAAGAAUGGUCAAAGAUUAAUUAAAUUAGUUAAUUAAUUUUACGAAAGGUUCGUAUUGGGCUUUUAAGUUGGUUUUGGGUUUCGGGGCCCAAAAGC
RNAcentral lists this long non-coding RNA (848 nucleotides) under Malus domestica (apple). RNAcentral's name for it is "long non-coding RNA (MDOM_LNC006783)". The record is from RNAcentral. Lineage: Eukaryota; Viridiplantae; Streptophyta; Magnoliopsida; Rosales; Rosaceae.